Long non-coding RNA from Gadus macrocephalus (Pacific cod), 830 nucleotides. RefSeq lists it as uncharacterized. The transcript is spliced from 3 exons. NCBI's taxonomy places the organism in Eukaryota, Metazoa, Chordata, Actinopteri, Gadiformes, Gadidae. The record is from RefSeq and is a predicted model, not a curated record.
CACAGGUUCCUGGAUAUGUGCCCCACCAGCGGGCCAAACUGCGGCACAGCUGAAGUCAUCUACAAGAAGAUGGAUGAGGCCAUGCAGAAAAACGCCAUACCAUGGAGAAACUGUGUCAGUCUGUCAGUUGAUAAUGCCCCUGUCAAUACAGGAGCAAGGAACUCCAUCGCAUCCAGAGCUCAUCAAGAACAUGGCAGUAUCUACAUCCAUGGGUGCCCUUGUCACAUCAUCCACAACACUGCCAAACAGGCUGGCCAGGCCUUUUUGGAGGUGUGUGGAUUUGAUCCAGAGGAUCUCGCUGUGGAUGUUGGAUAUUGGUUUAAAGGAAGCACCAAUCGCAAAGGUUACCUAACAGAAUUCUGUGAGCUCCAUGGAAGUGAGUAUAUGGAAAUGCUCAUGCACGUUUCUGUUCGAUGGUUGAGCCUGGAGAAGUGUUUGACUCGUAUCCUGCAGCAGUAUGAGCCACUGGCCAGCUACUUCAAGUCAUUAAAUAGGCAUCACAUUUUAAUGAUGCAAAUGCAUGGUUAUUAGAGCAGACUGAAAAGUAAAUAAAGUAUGUAGUAUGCACAACCAUUUUUUUCUCUCUUUUUCCCACAGAUGACAAACAGCCAAGGUUCAGGAGGCUUGUGGAGGCAUUCUCUGACUCAAUUACAGAGGUGUACCUACUGUUCUUUCAAGCAACUUUUCCAGUCUUCUCCACAUUCAACCUCCUCCUCCAGAGAGAGAAGUCGUCAAUCUUCCUACUACAUGAUGAGGUAAAUUGGAACCGUUGGGAUACAGUUUGCUAGUAUGAUGUUCUAUCUUUGUUCCUUUUUUAUUAGCAGGAAAUA